RNAcentral lists this ribosomal RNA (471 nucleotides) under Salmonella enterica. Its description in RNAcentral is "bacterial SSU rRNA". It matches the Rfam family "Bacterial small subunit ribosomal RNA", at positions 1 to 468 of the family's 1533-position model. RNAcentral also lists the same sequence under 1 other name. Lineage: Bacteria; Pseudomonadati; Pseudomonadota; Gammaproteobacteria; Enterobacterales; Enterobacteriaceae. The record is from RNAcentral.
AAAUUGAAGAGUUUGAUCAUGGCUCAGAUUGAACGCUGGCGGCAGGCCUAACACAUGCAAGUCGAACGGUAACAGGAAGCAGCUUGCUGCUUUGCUGACGAGUGGCGGACGGGUGAGUAAUGUCUGGGAAACUGCCUGAUGGAGGGGGAUAACUACUGGAAACGGUGGCUAAUACCGCAUAACGUCGCAAGACCAAAGAGGGGGACCUUCGGGCCUCUUGCCAUCAGAUGUGCCCAGAUGGGAUUAGCUUGUUGGUGAGGUAACGGCUCACCAAGGCGACGAUCCCUAGCUGGUCUGAGAGGAUGACCAGCCACACUGGAACUGAGACACGGUCCAGACUCCUACGGGAGGCAGCAGUGGGGAAUAUUGCACAAUGGGCGCAAGCCUGAUGCAGCCAUGCCGCGUGUAUGGAGAAGGCCUUCGGGUUGUAAAGUACUUUCAGCGGGGAGGAAGGUGUUGUGGUUAAUAACC